UACGAAGGUCCCGAGCGUUAUCCGGAUUUAUUGGGUUUAAAGGGUGUGUAGGCGGGUUAUUAAGUCAGUGGUGAAAGCCUACAGCUUAACUGUAGAAUUGCCAUUGAUACUGAUGAUCUUGAGUAUGAUUGAGGUGGGCGGAAUGUGUCAUGUAGCGGUGAAAUGCUUAGAUAUGACACAGAACACCGAUUGCGAAGGCAGCUCACUAAGUCAUAACUGACGCUGAUGCACGAAAGCGUGGGGAGCAAACAGG
This 253-nucleotide ribosomal RNA is filed under the name uncultured bacterium. RNAcentral's name for it is "partial 16S ribosomal RNA". It matches the Rfam family "Bacterial small subunit ribosomal RNA", at positions 524 to 776 of the family's 1533-position model. The record is from RNAcentral.